GGGGGUGACACGGCUUCGACGGGGAUGAGGAAGCUCAGAACUGCAUACCGUGGUCUCCGGGUCCACGUUAAACAAUCGGUAAACCCUUAAGUGCCGACUACAACUACGCACUGGCUGCUUAAUUAACUUAAGCAACCCGUUCUCUCGAUCUCUCGCCCGUUGGGGAUCUUGAGAACGUCGCUCAGAUGGGCUAGUUCUCCAUUGUUCUCAGGGAUGGAGGACGAAUCCGCCGCAAGCGGAACACCCUGAGAUAGUGUGCGGUCAAUCCAGCGUGCCGGAGUUUCCGCACAUGAACCCAAAGGGCUCGCUACGUAUGGAGACGUUCUGAGGGUCUUCUCUUCGGACCGGGGUUCGACUCCCCGCACCUCCACUG
This 373-nucleotide transfer-messenger RNA is filed under the name Bacteroidota (CFB group bacteria). RNAcentral describes it as "VGVZ01 sp016873805 Standard tmRNA". It matches the Rfam family "transfer-messenger RNA". From Rfam's summary of the family: Bacterial tmRNA, also known as 10Sa RNA or SsrA, is named for its dual tRNA and mRNA-like properties. Its role is to liberate the mRNA from a stalled ribosome. To accomplish this part of the tmRNA is used as a reading frame that ends in a translation stop signal. The record is from RNAcentral. Lineage: Bacteria; Pseudomonadati. RNAcentral also lists the same sequence under 1 other name.